Cervus elaphus (red deer) is the source of this 73-nucleotide non-coding RNA. The record is from the annotation of a RefSeq genome assembly. Lineage: Eukaryota; Metazoa; Chordata; Mammalia; Artiodactyla; Cervidae.
UCCCUGGUGGUCCAGUGGUUAGGACUUGGCACUUUCACUGCCAAGGGCCUGGGUUUGAUUCCUGGUUGGGAAC